UGCUAUUUGUCUGAGUGUUGGAAUGGCUCCUGGACUACGGCAGUGAUUAUGAAAAUUCCAACCUUUGUCCCGAUUCCGGUUACUACAGAUCCAGAGUCUUUUCCUAUUGUUGAACUGAUUAGAGCCUGUAGAGAUUUUGGAAUUACGGCAGCUAUAGUGACAGCUGUGGCAGUGUCUCCUGCUGCAGCAGUUACAGCUGGAGUAGCCAUUGCCAGCCAGGUACAAACUGCUGCCACUAUUAAUCAGGUUAUUCAACAAACAUCCACCAUACUUGAAUCUCAAAGUAGAAUUAAUCAACACAUUUUGUCUGGGAUUCUGGCUGCUCAUCAAAGGAUAGAUCUGCUUCAAGCUCAAGUUGAGGAAUUGUCUGACCUACUACAUUUGGGUUGUAUUGAUCAACGUGCACAUUUAUGUAUAACCUCUGUCAGAUUCUAUGAUUCCAGAAAUGCCUCCCGCAUCAUCGGAGAGUAUCUAUCUGGAACCUGGUCCAUGGAAGCAGAAAACUUGAUCCAGUCUCAACUAACCCAGAUAGCUGUCUUGAACAGUACCUGUGUCGAUCCCGUGACUUUGGGUCAAUUCACCGAUUGGCUAUCUUCUGCUUUUUCCUUCUUCAAAGAGUGGGUGGGGGUAGGCAUUUUUGGUGCAAUGUGUUGCUUCGGUAUGUUCCUCUGUUUGUGGUUUCUCUGUCACCUUAAGGCCCGUAGUGCUCACGAUAAGGCUAUGAUCAUACAAGCUCUUGCAGCUUUAGAAAAUGGCAACUCGCCUCAAGUCUGGCUUGCGCAUCUUAAACA
This 791-nucleotide long non-coding RNA is filed under the name Marmota monax (woodchuck). The record is from RNAcentral. Lineage: Eukaryota; Metazoa; Chordata; Mammalia; Rodentia; Sciuridae.